GAUGAACGCUGACAGAAUGCUUAACACAUGCAAGUCUUUGGCGAAGCUGUGCUUGCACAGCCUAGCCAAGGCGGACGGGUGAGUAACGCGUAAGGAACUUGCCCUGCAGUCAGGGAUAACAGACGGAAACGACUGAUAAGACCUGGUAAAGUCAGGCGGACUCAUGUCCAGCCUGAUGAAAAGAGAUGCUGCAGGAGAGCCUUGCGUCCUAUUAGCUUGUUGGUGGGGUAACGGCCCACCAAGGCGAUGAUAGGUAGCCGGCCUGAGAGGGUGGACGGCCACAAGGGGACUGAGAUACGGCCGUUACUCCUACGGGAGGCAGGAGUGGGGAAUAUUGGAAAAUGGGGGCAACCCUGAUACAGCAAUUCUGUGUGCACGAUGAAGGUUUUCGGAGUGUAAAGUGCUUUCAGCAGGGAAGAAAAAAAUGACGGUACCUGCAGAAGAAGCGACGGCUAAAUACGUG
Molecule: ribosomal RNA, 463 nt
Filed under: uncultured bacterium
Lineage: Bacteria
Description: partial 16S ribosomal RNA
Rfam family: Bacterial small subunit ribosomal RNA
Source: RNAcentral